Molecule: ribosomal RNA, 299 nt
Filed under: uncultured Sphingomonadaceae bacterium
Lineage: Bacteria; Pseudomonadati; Pseudomonadota; Alphaproteobacteria; Sphingomonadales; Sphingomonadaceae
Description: partial 16S ribosomal RNA
Rfam family: Bacterial small subunit ribosomal RNA
Source: RNAcentral
UAACGCGUGGGAAUCUGCCUAUCAGUGGGGAAUAACGACGGGAAACUGUCGCUAAUACCGCAUACGCCCUUAGGGGGAAAGAUUUAUCGCUGAUAGAUGAGCCCGCGUACGAUUAGCUAGUUGGUGAGGUAAUGGCUCACCAAGGCUACGAUCGUUAGGUGGUCUGAGAGGAUGAUCAGCCACACUGGGACUGAGACACGGCCCAGACUCCUACGGGAGGCAGCAGUGGGGCUUUUUGGACAAUGGGCGAAAGCCUGAUCCAGCAGAUGCCGCGCUAGUGAUGAAGGCCUUAGGGUUGU